RNAcentral lists this ribosomal RNA (550 nucleotides) under uncultured bacterium. RNAcentral describes it as "bacterial SSU rRNA". It matches the Rfam family "Archaeal small subunit ribosomal RNA", at positions 728 to 1276 of the family's 1478-position model. The record is from RNAcentral.
AAUAGAUACCCGGGUAGUCCUAGCCGUAAACGAUACUCGCUAGGUGUCGGCCACGGUGCGACCGUUGUCGGUGCCGUAGGGAAGCCGUGAAGCGAGCCACCUGGGAAGUACGGCCGCAAGGCUGAAACUUAAAGGAAUUGGCGGGGGAGCACCACAACGGGUGGAGCUUGCGGUUUAAUUGGAUUCAACGCCGGAAAUCUUACCGGGACCGACAGCAAUAUGAAGGCCAGGCUGAAGACUUUGCCGGAUUAGCUGAGAGGUGGUGCAUGGCCGUCGUCAGUUCGUACUGUGAAGCAUCCUGUUAAGUCAGGCAACGAGCGAGACCCACGCCCACAGUUGCCAGCGUACUCUCUGGAGUGACGGGUACACUGUGGGGACCGCCGCUGCUAAAGCGGAGGAAGGAAUGGGCAACGGUAGGUCAGUAUGCCCCGAACAUCCCGGGCUACACGCGAGCUACAAUGGUUGGUACAAUGGGUAUCUACCCCGGAAAGGGGACGGGAAUCUCCUAAAACCAAUCUUAGUUCGGAUUGAGGGCUGCAACUCGCCCUCA